Molecule: transfer RNA, 65 nt
Filed under: Solanum lycopersicum (tomato)
Lineage: Eukaryota; Viridiplantae; Streptophyta; Magnoliopsida; Solanales; Solanaceae
Rfam family: tRNA
About the family: Transfer RNA (tRNA) molecules are approximately 80 nucleotides in length. Their secondary structure includes four short double-helical elements and three loops (D, anti-codon, and T loops).
Source: Rfam by way of RNAcentral
GGCAUAAGCUCACCAAUUAGGAUGCGUCAGGCUCAUGACCUGAAGAUUGCAGGUUCGAAUCCUGU